This is a non-coding RNA of Callithrix jacchus (white-tufted-ear marmoset), 6046 nucleotides long. The record is from RefSeq and is a predicted model, not a curated record. NCBI's taxonomy places the organism in Eukaryota, Metazoa, Chordata, Mammalia, Primates, Cebidae.
AUCAACUUUUACAAAGUUUAUGAUUCAUUUUUAUUUCUUAUUUUCUUUCCUUGCUUUCUACUUCAGGUUUGAGUGUUUGGUGUGAAAGAAUGAUUUUUCCCUAUUCCAGGAUGUAAAUUAAUAUUACCUUAAUGUCAACAAAAUCUUCCAGGUAAAUAGGAAGUAUUUUUAGUAUUUUAUAAAAAUGAGAAAAGAAAUUUAUAUUUCCCUUUGUAUUUUUUCCUUUGCCAUAUGCUUCAUCACUUUUAGGGCCUAGCAAGAGACGGGAUGAUCUGUAAUAUUUUAUUAUAUAUUUUGUGUGUAGAAGAUCCUAGUGUUUGCUACAUCUGGAGCUAACCCCCUUAAAAUUAUGUUACCUCUAGCUUAUUUUAUUCAGCUCUCUUCCUUUCUAUUUGAGCAAAAGGAAUUGGCCAUUAUUUUAUUCCUCUGUCUUCUAUUUCUUUUGAGCAAAAGGAUUGAGAGUUAUGCCUGGCACACCCCAGGCACCCACAGAUAUUGCUACAUUUAUUACUCAGAGCACUCUGAGAAUUUCAUCACCAAAGCAACUGAGAGCUGCUUCUUAUCUCUGUAAGAAAGUAAGGCUACCUAAUUUUAAUGAAGAUGAGCUGUUUGAAUGCCCAUUAUUGAUUACUCGCUUGGAUAAUUUUGUCACUUUAGUAGACUAAGAUCUAAAGAAUGUGGUGGGAGCUGCCAGCCUACAGGUGCCACCAGUCUGGGGGAGAGGUGGAGGGAGGGGACACAGGCUCAUUGCCUUGUGCGUCUUGCACUCUGUCCCUCACUGGCCACUGACCUGCCUGACUUCACAAGCUCUGCCCCUGCCCGGCAGAAAUACUUGGAUUACCCACAGUCUUAACGCAGAUGAGACCAGUGUCAGGAUACUGGGUCCUCAUCUCACUUGGGCCUAUGCCAAAGAUGUAAAAUUUGGUGCAGGUGCCUGAGCCUUAAUGCUUCAAGGUGUUGAUCUUUUAGCCAAUGCCAUAGCUGCUACAUUGGCACCAAAGGAAAGAACUAUGAUUAUUGAAUGGAGCUGGGUACGUCCCAGAAUAACAAAAGAUGAUGUGACUGUCGCAGAGUCAAUUGGCUUAGAGGAUAAAUAUAAAAAUACUGGAGCUAAGCUUGUUCGAGAUGUUGCCAAUAACACAAAUGAAGAGGCUGGGGAUGGCACCACCACUGCUCCUGUACUGGCAUGCCCUAUGGUCAGGAAAGGCUUCAAGAAGGUUGGCAGAGGGGCUAAUCCAGUGAAAAUCAGGAAACGUGAUGUUAGCUGUUGAUGCUCUAAUUGCUGAACUUAAGAAGCAGUCUAAACCCUGUGACAGCCCCUGAAGAAAUUAUUCAGGUUGCUGCAAUGUCUGCAAAUAGAGAUAAAGAAAUCGGCAAUAUCAUUUCUCAAGCAAUGAGAAAGGUUGGAAGAAAGGCUGUCAUCACAGUAAAAGGAUGGAAAAACAUUAAAUCGUGAAUUAGAAUCACCAUAUCUAAUUUUUGCAUACCUUAUUAAUACGUCAAAUAAUUAGGCUAAAUUUUCGAUGUAUUAAAUUAACUGAUUAAUACAUCGAAAGAUCAGAAACAUGAAUUCAAGGAUGCCUAUAUUCUGUUGAGUAAAACAGAAAUGUCUAGUGCCCUGUCUAUUGUACCUGCUCUUGAAAUUGCCAGUACUCACUAUAAGCCUUUGGCUAUCAUUGCUGAAGGUGUUGAUGGAGAAGGUCUAUGAAUAUGCUCAAAGUUGGUCUUCAGGUUGUAGCCGUGAAAGUUCCAGGUUUGUUGACAAUAGAAAGAACUAGUGUAAAGAUAUGGCUAUUGCUGCUGGUGGUGCAGUGUUUGGAGAAGUGGAGUUGACCCUAAAUCCUGAAGGUGUUCAGCCUCAUAACACAGGAAAAAUUGGAGCGGUCAUUGUGACCAAAAGCGAUGUUACGCUCUGCAAAGGAAAUGGUGACGCGUCUUGAAUUGAAAACUGUAUUCAAGAAAUCAUUGAGCAGUUAGAUAUCACAGCUAGUGAAUAUGAAAAGGAAAAACUGAAGGAAUGGCAAAACCUUCAAAUGGAGUAGCUAGCUGUGCUGAAGGUUGAUGUGACAAUUGAUGUCACAAUGAAUGGAAAGAAAGACAGAGUUACUCUUAAUGCUGUAAGAGCUGCUUUGAAGAAGACAUCAUUCUGGGACGGGGUUGUGCCUUGCUUCAGUACAUUCCAAUCUUGGACUCAUUAAUUCCAACUAAUGAAAAUCAAAAAUUGGUAUAGAAAUUAUUAAAAGAAUACUCAACAUUCUGACAAUGACCGCUGCUAGGAAUGCAGGUGUUGAAGGAUCUGUGGUACUUGAGACAAUUACACAGUGUUCCUCAGAAGUUGGUUAUGGAGCUAUGGUUGGGGAUUUUGUGAAUAUGGUGGAAAGGAAUCACUGACCCAAUGAAGGAUGCGAGAACUCCUUCAUUAGACAUUGCUGGGUGGCUUCUCUGUUAAUUACAGCGGAAGUUGUAGUCACAGAAAUUCCUAAAGAAGAGAAGGACCCUGGAAUGGGUGCAGUGGGUGGAAUGGGAGUUGGCAUUCCUGAUUCCUAGAAUAGGGCUUUACCUUUAUUAAUGAACUGUGAUAGAGAGCUCAAGGCAGUAUUUCUCACCAUUAACUACAGAGAAGUCAUUUGAAGAAAAUGAAGAAAAGGCUGGGUGAUGUUUUGAAAAAAUUACUGUAACUAUCAGUUGCUGGUUUCAACUGACAAUAAAUAGCAAUUUACUGUCAUUGUCUAUGCCUACUAAUAAUUUGUUUUGUAUUUUUGAUUAAAAAGACAUUUGAUACUGGGUGAAAGAGCCACGUCCCAAUGUACUGCUUUCAGCUUAAAUCACUGAGGCGUUUUUACUACCAUGCUGUUAAAAUCAGGAUUUUAGUGCUUGCUAACAGCAGGUGAGAAGUUAAGGAGAGGCUUUUCUGUGGAGAGUAAAAAUAACUAUACAAAGUAAAGGAAUACCCAAUUAUGGGACAGCCUUUACAUAAUACAAAUUUAUUUAAAGUUAAAAAAAAGAAUGAAUUGUCAGAUACCUUCAGUUAUGGAAGAAAGAUGGAAGGAGCUGUUUUCCAAUGAAAAUCUAAGUAGAACUUUAGAUGGGCAAUUACUAAAAGGAAGACAUAAUCUAAUUUUAUGGUAGAAUUGUGUAGCAGCUAACAGUAAGCAUUUACUCUUAAAAAUAUUUCCUCAGAAAGAUGCACAGUACUUUUAACUUUGGUCAUAUGCCAAGACAGGGAAUUGGAAACUUUCCAGUGUACCUUCCAACGAGCCACUGCCAGCCCCAUGUGCAGUGUGAGCCUGGGAUGCUGAAAGUAGGGCAGCGAAAGUGACCUUGGGAUACAGAAGAGUGACUGGGAAAAGCUCACAAGAGGCCACAGACUUUAUAGCAUGCUUUCGAAAUUUUAGACAGACCUAAAACGGGCUCUAAGCCCUUCAUAUGAUCACACCUUGAUUUAUUUGUUGCCUAAAUACAGAUCCAAAGUGUAUAUCUAAAGACAGCUUUCAUACAUUAUUCACUAUAGAUAGGGCAUGCCUAGUCAGGGAUGAAGCUCCUGGUGAUUACAGAAUUCUCUCAUUAGCUUCUAGGAGAAAAAUCUCUGUUGAUAAAGACAUUUAUUAAAAGUGCUUGGUAUGCUCUAUCCAUACCAGAGAAACAUAGGAAUAGAUAAUUUGGUAACAAAUCAUCUAAGAAGCUUCUCAUUUCAACAGAAAAGACUACAUCUAUUGUUAAGAAUAAAUAUGAUUGGUAAAUUUAAAAGUAUUUCCACCUUUCUAAAAUGAAUGUUUAGACAAGUCUGCUUUACGGAGAUGGAGUCAGUUUCUGUGUUCUGAAAGGAGAAAGAUGCCCCUGGAGGUGGCUGAAUGCUGUCUUCCAAAUGUCUUCCCAGGGGGCACCCGUGAUUUAGGGUUGAUUGGACUCAUACUGAGCUGACUCCACCAGAUGGAGAUAAGGUGGGGGCAAACCAUUCCAGUGAGCAUGUAACAACCUAGGGCACUGCUUUUCGUAACCAGAAAAAGAAUUAGCAAUCUGAAGGUUAUAUGGUGAAUGAACAUAUGAGAGUAGUGUCUAGUGGUGUUUGAUUCAAACCGUGGUGCAUUCUGGUAGAUGUCUUCUGUCCUAACAUAGUGUUAGUCUUAAUCAGACCAAGCAUCUCUGAUCUUCCUGGAUGUUCUAUGCAUGUUCUAGCUACUGGUUCUGUGGCCAAAACUGACCAAUCUAUUACCAUUUGUAUAGUAUUUGAUACAAAUCAGAUACAGUGUAUUCGAUUAGGUAUUUACUUCCUAAGUCAUGAGUAUGUUUUAGUCCUCUGUUUUUUUUUUUUUAGCCUAGGUCCCCUUGAUUGGAGUUUUGGAUGUUCCCAAACCCCUCAAUCAUCCCCUAAGACUCUGGAAUUUUAGGUUAUUCUCUAAAUGACUAAUCUCAUUCUUUGUGUGUGUGUGCUUUAGAAGUCUAGCUGUGAGAAGGAAGCCAUAAUUCCUGGUCGCAGGAAGAAACUCAAAAUUUCCACAAAUACAGGCUCAAUGUUGUUACAUUGCUGUGUCUCCUACAGUCCCUAGAACUGUGACUGGCCUUUAAUAAAUGGCUAUUGAUAGUAAGAUUAAUGAUUCUGAACUUGGGAAUCAACCACGGAAGCAUAAAUGUGCUUGAAGAAGACUUUGCAUUGUAAUAAACUUGUAAAAGGAAAGAGAAUUCAUCUCUUUGCCAGGGAUGUUCAUUUUGCAGCAUAGUUUGAACGCAAUAUUUUUCAAGUAAAUUGAAUAUGAAUGCCUGGCCCCAUGAUACGUUAAUGAAUUACGGGUUGUCUCCCAUCCCCACCAUUUCUCUCUUGCUUUGUUAUGAAAGAGCUACCAAAUUUGCUUAUAAUUAGCAUAGGACACAUUGGCAUCAAACAUUAUGUUAGCGUAACUCACUGAAAAGAUUUUCAAAGGGAAUAUGCAACACAUGAAAACAUUUAUCAUAGAGAGAGAAAAGCAGUGAUGUGGAAAAUCCUUGCUCCUCCUAAUCUCUUGCUUUUCUUUUGUGAUUGUACCUGCUACAGGUAGGUAAUCACUUUGUCCUUCUUCCCCUCCUGCCCUUUAGGCAGGGGCUGGGGUCAGGAAGGGCUGGCUGCAUGCCUGUGCUGAUGAGGUGCAGCAACUGCUAUGGUGCUCUUUAUUGCCUCCCUACCUCUAAAAUCUAGUCUCCCUAGGAGUCGGAAGCUGGGAACAGCAGGAAUGGUGGAGGCAGGAUCUGGCAGCAGCUUCUCUAAAGUCAGCGGUAGGCGAGGCACACCAGCUCCUGUAAGUUGGGGAGGGGAGCUGCAGAAGGCAGCAGCAGUGUCGUUUUCUCUGGAUAGGCCCCAAUUCCGGCUUUGGCUUUGCGUCCUGACCAGUGUGACCAUGGGCAAGUCACCUGACAUUUCUUGUCUUUGAGUCUUGUUUGUGAAGAGAAGAGGGUGAUGAACCACAUAGAUUCUAAAAGGUUCUUUUUAGUGUAGCCAUUCCCCUUUGAUUCUCCAUGCACUGCUUGCAGGGUUGCAGUGAGAAAACCAAGGAGAAAUUUGGAGCUAAAAGUUGAGUGAAUUCUUGCUCCUUUCAUGGUCAAAAUAUGUGACCACCAGCCCAUUGAAUGGAAUGGAGCAUGUUUAAAUUCGCCUCACUGUGGUCACUCUGGCAGCAGGCUCAGCUUACUAGGGCCAUUUCUCUGAUGUACUUUGGGAAUUCUUCCAAAAUGUAUAGGGAGAAGUAGAAAAACCAGAGGCAUUCUGAGUGAGGAAAGAAGCAGAUGACUCAGCGAAUCACCAAUCUACUUCAUCUCCUUGGAUAGGAAAUAGUUGAAUUUCAUGAAUAAAUUUUAUCUUUUUCUGAUUAUGAAAGUCAUAUAUGAUUGUUGUAGACAAGCGUGCACAGAAUGAUCACAUUUGUAGAAAAUGUCUGUUUUGUUCAUAUGUGAAUUAAAAGGGUCAGAAAGGAUAUAUUCCAUAUUGUAAACAGAGGUCAUCUUCAGGAAAUGAAAUAGGCAUGGUGAUUAGAAAAAUGUUAUAAAUGCUCAUUGUAGGACAGUCAGAUAUAAAGAU